Molecule: ribosomal RNA, 253 nt
Filed under: uncultured bacterium
Lineage: Bacteria
Description: partial 16S ribosomal RNA
Rfam family: Bacterial small subunit ribosomal RNA
Source: RNAcentral
UACAGAGGCCUCGAGCGUUAGGCGGAAUCACUGGGCUUAAAGCGUGUGUAGGUGGAUGCCUAAGUACCUUGUGAAAUCCCAUGGCUUAACCAUGGAAUUGCUUGGUAUACUGGGUGUCUUGAGCCACUCAGGGGCGAGCGGAACAAACGGUGGAGCGGUGAAAUGCGUAGAGAUCGGAAAGAACACCAACGGCGAAAGCACUCUGCUGGGCCGACACUGACACUGAGAGACGAAAGCUAGGGGAGCGAAUGGG